RNAcentral lists this non-coding RNA (84 nucleotides) under unclassified sequences. Its description in RNAcentral is "L4-Archaeoglobi ribosomal protein leader". It matches the Rfam family "L4-Archaeoglobi ribosomal protein leades". The record is from RNAcentral.
CUGACCAGGACGCAUGGGUCGACGUUCGUGCAACGAGCCCGUUCCUUCUGCUGCAUCAGUGUAGCAGGGAUGCGCCAUUGUCAG